GGGGGUGCGAGCGUUAUUCGGAAUCAUUGGGCGUAAAGGGCGCGUAGGCGGUCUCUUAAGUCAGGUGUGAAAGCCUUCCGCUUAACGGAAGAAGUGCACUUGAAACUAAGGGACUUGAGUAUGGGAGAGGGAAGUGGAAUUCCUGGUGUAGCGGUGAAAUGCGUAGAUAUCAGGAGGAACACCGGUGGCGAAGGCGACUUCCUGGACCAAUACUGACGCUGAGGCGCGAAGGCGUGGGGAGCAAACAGGAUUAGAUACCCUGGUAGUCCACGCAGUAAACGGUGAACACUAGGUGUAGUGGGUAUUGACCCCCCUGCUGUGCCCGCAGUUAACGCAUUAAGUGUUCCGCCUGGGGGAGUACGGCCGCAAGGUUA
This 374-nucleotide ribosomal RNA is filed under the name uncultured organism. RNAcentral describes it as "partial 16S ribosomal RNA". It matches the Rfam family "Bacterial small subunit ribosomal RNA", at positions 528 to 896 of the family's 1533-position model. The record is from RNAcentral.